GGCUUAGGCACAUUGAGCUACGCCAUUCGCACGCUGCCAUCUUACAUGAUAACACAGAUAUCAGUGCAGUGUGCGUACUUGCGGAGGGCUAACUGUAAGUGUUUAAGUAUUUAAGUCUGCACGCGUACAGGUGGAGGGCUAGCAUUGUAUUGUCUCGUCAAUGUGGGCUCCGAGGCAUUAUUAGCUGGGCUGCAACCCGACGUGCCAUCGGUAUGAAUGAACGCCACUUCCUCCAGACAUCCUUGCGGUUCAUACUUCAUAGCGAACCUUUCAAAAUCCAUGCGAUAGCGCAUAGGAGCAUUUGCAUGCAAUACCUUCGGCACGUUCAGUGUCCAUGCCCAGAGACGUCCCCACAUAGCGAAGGUUAAGUGCCACCGGUUCAAAUUAAAUGUGUGGGGUUGCUCGUGCCCUGGUGCAUCAAGGGCAGAUUGUCGCCCAAGCCUCAACACGAAACACAUCAUACCCACUCCCAUACCACAAACCACACCUGCCGUGUAUUAAAGGUAUGUCAAACAAGAUUUGUCCAGAUGUAAGCCCAUGAGUAGGUGGCAGACUUUGGCGACCUGAACGAGGGAAACUAGCUAAGUGAACCAUCCAGGUUCCUGUACACGUGUCAGCCCUUCGAUGUGAGGUGACAGUGGCAAGGAAAUACACGUAAAGUUAUCAUCAGACCCAGACAUAAUUCAAUAAAAUAGAGUCAAAGUUCAUGGACUCUUACUGCAGGCUAUCCUGUGUGUGCUUUAAAAAAUGCCUACUGCCUAAACGCCUUAGGGUACUGUCAUAACUUCACUGUUAUCAUAUGCCAACACGAGACAACAUCAGAGAGCUCGAAACAU
Molecule: long non-coding RNA, 836 nt
Filed under: Volvox carteri
Lineage: Eukaryota; Viridiplantae; Chlorophyta; Chlorophyceae; Chlamydomonadales; Volvocaceae
Description: long non-coding RNA (VCAR_LNC000171)
Source: RNAcentral